This 330-nucleotide long non-coding RNA is filed under the name Monodelphis domestica (gray short-tailed opossum). Its description in RNAcentral is "lncRNA (ENSMODG00000038920.1)". Lineage: Eukaryota; Metazoa; Chordata; Mammalia; Didelphimorphia; Didelphidae. The record is from RNAcentral.
UGCUCAGGGUCACUCACCCAGGGUCAGAUUUGAACCUAUGACCUACUGCCUGUGGGCCUGGCUCCCUCACCACUGAGCCACCCAGCCGCCCCUCCCCUCCUGUUGAGUCAAAGGAAAAGUGAGGAGCUUUGAGAAGACUGGAUCAGGGCCAGAUGGCAAGGAGAACCCCCCAACAGCAAGGGAGCUGGACUAGCCUCUGAGGGCCCUUCCAGCUUGGAGUUUAUGAACCCACCAUACACCAUAGCUCCUGGUUGGUACUCUGGAGAGCUACAGAGCAAAGCCUAGAUGAGAGAAUGCUGAGAGGGAAUCGUGAAAAGAAAAGGACUGAUG